AAUCAACGCUGGCGGCGUGCCUAACACAUGCAAGUCGAACGAGAACGCCCGCCUUUGGCGGGUUAGUAGAGUGGCGAACGGGUGAGUAACGCGUGGGUAAUCUGCCCUCAAGUGGGGGAUAACUCGGGAAACCCGGGCUAAGACCGCAUAAGCCCUUUGGGGGAAAAGCAGUGAUGUUGCUUGAGGAGGAGCCCGCGUCUGAUUAGCUGGUUGGUGGGGUAAGAGCCUACCAAGGCGACGAUUGGUAGCCGGUCUGAGAGGACGGACGGCCACACUGGGACUGAGACACGGCCCAGACUCCUACGGGAGGCAGCAGUGGGGAAUUUUGGGCAAUGGGGGAAACCCUGACCCAGCAACGCCGCGUGGAGGAAGAAGGUUUUCGGAUCGUAAACUCCUGUCCCGAGGGACGAAGCAAGUGACGGUACCUUGGGAGGAAGCCCCGGCUAACUCCGUG
This 454-nucleotide ribosomal RNA is filed under the name uncultured bacterium. Its description in RNAcentral is "bacterial SSU rRNA". It matches the Rfam family "Bacterial small subunit ribosomal RNA", at positions 29 to 507 of the family's 1533-position model. The record is from RNAcentral.